GGCUGCACGAGUUCUCAGCCAAACCACCGCCAUCAUACUGAAGGCAGCUGUGGCUGCUGGCUAGCUCGGAGCUGUGGGAGGCGGCAGCAGCCAGCAGGGAGGAGCUCCAACAUCUGGAAAAGGAAAACUGGCAGAGGAAUGGAGAGGAGAAAGCUGUUGCAGUGUUAGCAAGAAGACUCUUACAAGCUUUGCCCUAGUUUGUACAGCAGAGGGAUGAACAUCAACAGAGCAGAAGUCCCGACAUCCCACCGUUCUUCAGGACAGAAGGUUCU
This is a long non-coding RNA of Nematolebias whitei (Rio pearlfish), 272 nucleotides long. RefSeq lists it as uncharacterized. NCBI's taxonomy places the organism in Eukaryota, Metazoa, Chordata, Actinopteri, Cyprinodontiformes, Rivulidae. The transcript has 3 exons. The record is from RefSeq and is a predicted model, not a curated record.